Pleuronectes platessa (European plaice) is the source of this 329-nucleotide long non-coding RNA. RefSeq lists it as uncharacterized. The transcript is spliced from 3 exons. The record is from RefSeq and is a predicted model, not a curated record. Lineage: Eukaryota; Metazoa; Chordata; Actinopteri; Pleuronectiformes; Pleuronectidae.
UCUGUCUGCCGCAGACAUGAGAGGAUCAUGUUAAGUGUGUUCCGUAUGAGUGACUCUGUUUUCGGGAUAAAUAACUUGCUGAAGUCGACACGACACUGUUUCCCUGGAGGAGAAGAUGAGUGCGUGGGAAAGCAAAGCCGCGGGCCCGGUAUGGAGGAAUUGAGGCAGAGAAGACAGGCGCACAGUCCCUGAAUUAAGGAAGUUUCCGUCUCUUCACAGCUCUGAUGAAAAUGGCCGGCGGAGCGAGGCCUGAUUCCCGCACACAAUGACGCAGUCACUGCACAUUACGCCGAGACUCGCUGAAAGUCCACAUUUGCAGUGCGGGCUAA